UAACACAUGCAAGUCGAACGAGACCUUCGGGUCUAGUGGCGCACGGGUGCGUAACGCGUGGGAACCUGCCCCUCGGUUCGGAAUAACACAGAGAAAUUUGUGCUAAUACCGGAUGAUGACUUCGGUCCAAAGAUUUAUCGCCGAGGGAUGGGCCCGCGUAGGAUUAGCUUGUUGGUGGGGUAAUGGCCUACCAAGGCGACGAUCCUUAGCUGGUCUGAGAGGAUGAUCAGCCACACUGGGACUGAGACACGGCCCAGACUCCUACGGGAGGCAGCAGUGGGGAAUAUUGGACAAUGGGCGAAAGCCUGAUCCAGCAAUGCCGCGUGAGUGAUGAAGGCCUUAGGGUUGUAAAGCUCUUUUACCAGGGAUGAUAAUGACAGUACCUGGAGAGUAAGCUCCGGCUAACUCCGUGCCAGCAGCCGCGGUAAUACGGAGGGAGCUAGCGUUGUUCGGAAUUACUGGGCGUAAAGCGCGCGUAGGCGGCUAUUCAAGUCAGAGGUGAAAGCCCGGGGCUCAACCCCGGAACUGCCUUUGAAACUAGGUAGCUAGAAUCUUGGAGAGGUCAGUGGAAUUCCGAGUGUAGAGGUGAAAUUCGUAGAUAUUCGGAAGAACACCAGUGGCGAAGGCGACUGACUGGACAAGUAUUGACGCUGGGGUGCG
This 660-nucleotide ribosomal RNA is filed under the name uncultured Alphaproteobacteria bacterium. RNAcentral's name for it is "bacterial SSU rRNA". It matches the Rfam family "Bacterial small subunit ribosomal RNA", at positions 49 to 755 of the family's 1533-position model. Lineage: Bacteria; Pseudomonadati; Pseudomonadota; Alphaproteobacteria. The record is from RNAcentral.